Molecule: ribosomal RNA, 487 nt
Filed under: Aspergillus sp. ASR-219
Lineage: Eukaryota; Fungi; Ascomycota; Eurotiomycetes; Eurotiales; Aspergillaceae
Description: eukaryotic LSU rRNA
Rfam family: 5.8S ribosomal RNA (bases 167-322)
Source: RNAcentral
GUCCAACCUCCCACCCGUGUCUAUCGUACCUUGUUGCUUCGGCGGGCCCGCCGUUUCGACGGCCGCCGGGGAGGCCUUGCGCCCCCGGGCCCGCGCCCGCCGAAGACCCCAACAUGAACGCUGUUCUGAAAGUAUGCAGUCUGAGUUGAUUAUCGUAAUCAGUUAAAACUUUCAACAACGGAUCUCUUGGUUCCGGCAUCGAUGAAGAACGCAGCGAAAUGCGAUAAGUAAUGUGAAUUGCAGAAUUCAGUGAAUCAUCGAGUCUUUGAACGCACAUUGCGCCCCCUGGUAUUCUCGGGGGGCAUGCACUGUCCGAGCGUCAUUGCUGCCGACAUCAAGCCCGGCUUGUGUGUUGGGCACCUCGUCCCCCGGCUCCCGGGGGACGGGCCCAGAAAGGCAGCGGCGGCACCGCGUCCGGUCCUCGAGCGUAUGGGGCUUCGUCUUCCGCUCCGUAGGCCCAGGCCGGCGCCCGCCACGCAGUUUAUUU